Pocillopora verrucosa is the source of this 417-nucleotide non-coding RNA. Lineage: Eukaryota; Metazoa; Cnidaria; Anthozoa; Scleractinia; Pocilloporidae. The record is from RefSeq and is a predicted model, not a curated record.
CCCAAGGAAAAAGGCGCUAUAACCAGAGUGUGAAGUGUGCAUAGAACCAAAGAAUAACCUGUCGAGACCAGAUAAAAAGGGAUGAACUUAAAGGCUGUAGUUGUGAUAGUUGCCAUUCUAAUUGUGGCCUCAGGAAUGCAGGAGAGUGAUGCUGCGGUACCAUGGAGCCCCUCGAAAGGAAGAAGUAUCAAGAAAGUUAAGAGCGUCGCUCUCAAUAAGGAGCAAAGUUACCGUCGAACGCUGUGUGAGGCCGCACGAUAUCUGGAUUGCGAUUAUCAAGCACAGGAAGACGAUUGACGUAGGACACUGGCGAUGUCGACAAGUUACUACCGUCAUGAUACUUUACGAAUUUAUCGGAAAUAAUACUAUGUAAACUUAUGAGUAAACUGAUCAGUGUUACAAUAAACUGGAAAAUCA